GGAAGGAGCGUGGAAGGAAGAAAGAAAGGCAGGGCUUCGGGACGCGCAGCGCGGAGAAGUGGAGUUCGAAGUUCUCAAGUGGCUGGCUGCAGCCCCUCCGCGCUCAGCACGCCCGCAGACACGCUCCCAUGCCCACCUACGCCAGCUUCGGGGCAUCCCAGCCUCCGAUCCCAUCCUCCACCCCCUGAAAAAACAGCCCCCGGCUGGCGCGCGAAGGCCGGGCCGCUGUGCACCCCGAGAAGAGUGGCGCUCUCCCCCAGACUCCACUCGAGCCGCUGAAGCCAGAUGGAAGUAAUCAGAACCCAACAACAACAGAGAAAGAAGGAAGAAAGAAACUCCUCAUUGAAUUUUCUAGCCAAACUGUAUGUGGGGCUGUGUGUGAAAGAACUUGCUUAAGCAAACUCGGUGGGAAGACUGAGGCUUUAAAAAGUGAAGUAAUUUGUCUAAGGUCAGAGCACUCUGCCAUCCUCCCAGAGCUUCGGGUGGUUGUACUACCAGCUCAACUCCUGCUGGACUCCAGACACUCACAUAACCUUUCCUGGCUUAUUUUGGCAAGAAGAUGGCUGUCGAGAUGAAGACAAGAGUGUUUUUGGUUGGAGGAGAACUCUGUAGACACCGUGCCUGAAUUUCUAGAUGGUCAGAAGUUUGGGCACUGAAAAAAGCAGCAGAAGGUUUGGAGUGGAGGCAAACUGGUGUGGCCAGGGAAGCCUUCGACUGAGUGCUGGGACACCAGGUUCUAGUCCUAGAUCUAGUACUAAGUGUAUGACCUUUGACCAGUCUGGUUCACUCAAUCAGUACCAGGCACUGUGCUAAGUGGCUCGACACCACAGUGAGCAACACCUACAAGAUCUUUCCCCUUGGGGAGCUUAUGUUUCAUUAAUAACCACAAACAAACAUAUAAUCACAAACUGGGUAAAGGAAAAUCCAGCGUGCUGUGGGAGCCGGUAAUUGGAGACCUGAGCAAGCUAGGAGGUGAGCUUGGGGAGGGGAGUGGUACAGAGAAGGAGAAGGCUUUCCUGGGGGAAUGAGGUUGCACUGAUAAGAAGGAACGAGGAAUGAGGGAGGGUGGACUAGGAGAACGGGAAGUGGAGUGUACCAGUUCUUUCUUCUCCCUUUCUGCGAAAUGGACCUGAAUGACGAGAAAAACCAGGCCCACAAAGAAGCAGCUUCUUCAUUAUUUCCCAGUGUUCUAGUGACUAGAGUCAUAGAACAAAUCACCCCCAAACUCAAUAGAAGGAAACAAUCUUUUCUUAUGUCUGCGGCUCCUGCACAUCAGGAUUUUGAACGAGGUAGAACAGGGACAGUUUGUCUCUGCUCCACAGUGUCAGGCCUCUGCUGGAAAGCUUCAGGGCUAGGGCUGGGAUCCUCUGAAGACUCUGGCUCCCCUGCCUGGCGAUCUGUGCCGACUGUUGGCUGGUGGGGGGCCUCAGUUCCAUUCCAUGCACCUCUCCGUGUGGUCUCGUUACUCAGAAUAGUUGGGGUUGUUCACAGCACCGUGGUAACUAAUACACAGGGUGAGCUUAACAAGAAUCAGCCAGGCAGCAGACCUUUGGUCUUCUCUGAAAUUUCGGCAGUCACAUCAUAUCAUUUCAGCUGCACUGUAUUCAUCAGGGCAGACACAGAGACCUGCCUAGGUUAAGGGGAGGGAAAAUAGACUCCAUUUCUUUUCUUUUCUUUUUCUUUUUUUGAGACAGAGUCUUGCUCUGUUGCCCAGGCUAGAGUGCAGUGGCACC
Long non-coding RNA from Chlorocebus sabaeus (green monkey), 1733 nucleotides. RefSeq lists it as uncharacterized. The record is from RefSeq and is a predicted model, not a curated record. NCBI's taxonomy places the organism in Eukaryota, Metazoa, Chordata, Mammalia, Primates, Cercopithecidae.